AGGGUUGUGGCUCAGAGGUAGAGCACUCGCUUAGCAUGUGCGAGGCACUGGGUUCGAUCCUCAGCAGCACAU
RNAcentral lists this transfer RNA (72 nucleotides) under Marmota monax (woodchuck). It matches the Rfam family "tRNA". Rfam says of the family: Transfer RNA (tRNA) molecules are approximately 80 nucleotides in length. Their secondary structure includes four short double-helical elements and three loops (D, anti-codon, and T loops). Lineage: Eukaryota; Metazoa; Chordata; Mammalia; Rodentia; Sciuridae. The record is from Rfam by way of RNAcentral.